Long non-coding RNA from Esox lucius (northern pike), 1210 nucleotides. NCBI's taxonomy places the organism in Eukaryota, Metazoa, Chordata, Actinopteri, Esociformes, Esocidae. The record is from Ensembl.
CCCUCUCAGAACCAGACAGGGCUUCUCUCCCUGUUUCUUUUCCUCAGUUUUUUUUUUUCUAUCUUGCACUUUUCCUUCUCGCCUCCGCGGACCACUCCUCUCUAUCAGCUGUGAGUUCUGCGUAGCAGGCCUCUGUCCCCUGCCCUCGUCUUGCUCAUCUGGCCUCGUCGGCUUGACUUGAGCGUUGGGAGAGAAACAGAACCGAGGAGGAAGCUGUUCCUAAGGCCAGGCAGCUGCUGAUUAGGUUGUUCCACUGCUGUUCUGUAGGGGCUGAUUCUGUUCCCCCUCCCUGUCAACUCCCAUGUCCUGGUAUGGCCAGCAGCACUAACUCUCUCCCUCCCUCUUUCUCUCUCCCUCCCUCCCUCUCUCAAUCCUUCUGGCACAAACUAAACAACUCACCCUCAUCUCACUUUUCUCCCUCACCCAUUCUCUUCUCAUUCCCCCCUUCCCUUCACCGCCACUGGCUCUCUCGCUCUCUCUCUCGCUUUCUUUCUGGUCGUACCAAACAACUUGACAACAAUGAAGGAAGUUCACACUGGCUUCAUUUCUAUACUAAACCCCCUUCGCCUCUCCCUCUCUCUCUCUCUCUCUCCUCUGGCCUCCUCUCUCAUCUGCUCUCUUUUACUUCCUCACCAUUCUAAACCUUCUUCUCUCUUACCCCCUAUCCUCUCCCCCCUUCUCUCUGGUCUUUCUCUGCAUUUCGUUUUUCUCCCAGCUGGUAGUUUCAGACUCUGUCUGCUCAGUCAGCAGUGAACACAUCCCCAACGGGGAGGGGGGGGUCAGCUGGAGAAGGCAAGCUUCUGAUUGGCUAGGGAAAGUGCAGGGGAAGCCAAGGCGCCACCCACCUGCUCUGACUGUUUUUUUUUUUUUUUAGGAGAGUAGUAUAUGGUCCAAGGAAAUGAUCUGUGUGCGCGCGAGUGUGUGUUUAACUAGUGUGUUGACGUACAGUAGUGUGUACAAGUAAAAAUACAUAAUCUACUUUUAAAAUGUCCUGUUCUGUGUUUGCAUUGGUGUGUGUGUGUGUGUUUGUGUGUGUACGCAAGUGUUCAAUCAUCGUGCUGGGUCUGCCGGUUUGUGUUGUCACCCAAAACCUCGAGCCCUAUCACCAUGCAGAUGACGACAGACGUACACACGCACACACCCACACGCAGGCACGCACACGCACGCACGCACACGCACGCACGCACGCGCCCUAACAGGAACUGCUGUG